This 1453-nucleotide ribosomal RNA is filed under the name Lactobacillus helveticus R0052. RNAcentral describes it as "16S ribosomal RNA". It matches the Rfam family "Bacterial small subunit ribosomal RNA". Lineage: Bacteria; Bacillati; Bacillota; Bacilli; Lactobacillales; Lactobacillaceae. The record is from RNAcentral.
GAGCGGCGGAUGGGUGAGUAACACGUGGGGAACCUGCCCCAUAGUCUAGGAUACCACUUGGAAACAGGUGCUAAUACCGGAUAAUAAAGCAGAUCGCAUGAUCAGCUUAUAAAAGGCGGCGUAAGCUGUCGCUAUGGGAUGGCCCCGCGGUGCAUUAGCUAGUUGGUAAGGUAACGGCUUACCAAGGCAAUGAUGCAUAGCCGAGUUGAGAGACUGAACGGCCACAUUGGGACUGAGACACGGCCCAAACUCCUACGGGAGGCAGCAGUAGGGAAUCUUCCACAAUGGACGCAAGUCUGAUGGAGCAACGCCGCGUGAGUGAAGAAGGUUUUCGGAUCGUAAAGCUCUGUUGUUGGUGAAGAAGGAUAGAGGUAGUAACUGGCCUUUAUUUGACGGUAAUCAACCAGAAAGUCACGGCUAACUACGUGCCAGCAGCCGCGGUAAUACGUAGGUGGCAAGCGUUGUCCGGAUUUAUUGGGCGUAAAGCGAGCGCAGGCGGAAGAAUAAGUCUGAUGUGAAAGCCCUCGGCUUAACCGAGGAAUUGCAUCGGAAACUGUUUUUCUUGAGUGCAGAAGAGGAGAGUGGAACUCCAUGUGUAGCGGUGGAAUGCGUAGAUAUAUGGAAGAACACCAGUGGCGAAGGCGGCUCUCUGGUCUGCAACUGACGCUGAGGCUCGAAAGCAUGGGUAGCGAACAGGAUUAGAUACCCUGGUAGUCCAUGCCGUAAACGAUGAGUGCUAAGUGUUGGGAGGUUUCCGCCUCUCAGUGCUGCAGCUAACGCAUUAAGCACUCCGCCUGGGGAGUACGACCGCAAGGUUGAAACUCAAAGGAAUUGACGGGGGCCCGCACAAGCGGUGGAGCAUGUGGUUUAAUUCGAAGCAACGCGAAGAACCUUACCAGGUCUUGACAUCUAGUGCCAUCCUAAGAGAUUAGGAGUUCCCUUCGGGGACGCUAAGACAGGUGGUGCAUGGCUGUCGUCAGCUCGUGUCGUGAGAUGUUGGGUUAAGUCCCGCAACGAGCGCAACCCUUAUUAUUAGUUGCCAGCAUUAAGUUGGGCACUCUAAUGAGACUGCCGGUGACAAACCGGAGGAAGGUGGGGAUGACGUCAAGUCAUCAUGCCCCUUAUGACCUGGGCUACACACGUGCUACAAUGGGCAGUACAACGAGAAGCGAGCCUGCGAAGGCAAGCGAAUCUCUGAAAGCUGUUCUCAGUUCGGACUGCAGUCUGCAACUCGACUGCACGAAGCUGGAAUCGCUAGUAAUCGCGGAUCAGAACGCCGCGGUGAAUACGUUCCCGGGCCUUGUACACACCGCCCGUCACACCAUGGAAGUCUGCAAUGCCCAAAGCCGGUGGCCUAACCUUCGGGAAGGAGCCGUCUAAGGCAGGGCAGAUGACUGGGGUGAAGUCGUAACAAGGUAGCCGUAGGAGAACCUGCGGCUGGAUCACCUCCUUU